RNAcentral lists this ribosomal RNA (299 nucleotides) under uncultured Microgenomates group bacterium. RNAcentral's name for it is "partial 16S ribosomal RNA". It matches the Rfam family "Bacterial small subunit ribosomal RNA", at positions 28 to 351 of the family's 1533-position model. The record is from RNAcentral.
GAUGAACGCUGGCGGUGUGCCUUAAGCAUGCAAGUUGAACGGUCCGAUUUAUCGGACAGUGGCAGACGGGUGAGUAACACGUAGGAAUCUACCUCAAUGUGGGGGAUAGCUCGCCGAAAGGCGGGGUAAUACCGCAUGUGAUCGCGAGAUCAAAGACGCAAGUCGCAUUGAGAGGAGCCUGCGCAUUAUCAGGUAGUUGGUGGGGUAAUGGCCUACCAAGCCUACGACGAUUAGCCGAUGUGAGAGCAUGAUCGGCCACAAGGUAACUGAGACACGGUGCCUACACCUACGGGUGGCUG